AUUGAACGCUAGCGGGAUGCUUUACACAUGCAAGUCGAACGGCAGCGCGGACUUCGGUCUGGCGGCGAGUGGCGAACGGGUGAGUAAUGUAUCGGAACGUGCCCAGUAGCGGGGGAUAACUACGCGAAAGCGUAGCUAAUACCGCAUACGCCCUACGGGGGAAAGCAGGGGAUCGUAAGACCUUGCACUAUUGGAGCGGCCGAUAUCGGAUUAGCUAGUUGGUGAGGUAACGGCUCACCAAGGCGACGAUCCGUAGCUGGUUUGAGAGGACGACCAGCCACACUGGGACUGAGACACGGCCCAGACUCCUACGGGAGGCAGCAGUGGGGAAUUUUGGACAAUGGUGGCAACCCUGAUCCAGCCAUCCCGCGUGUGCGAUGAAGGCCUUCGGGUUGUAAAGCACUUUUGGCAGGAAAGAAACGUCGCGGGCUAAUACCCCGUGGAACUGACGGUACCUGCAGAAUAAGCACCGGCUAACUACGUG
RNAcentral lists this ribosomal RNA (484 nucleotides) under uncultured bacterium. RNAcentral describes it as "partial 16S ribosomal RNA". It matches the Rfam family "Bacterial small subunit ribosomal RNA", at positions 30 to 507 of the family's 1533-position model. The record is from RNAcentral.